This 293-nucleotide ribosomal RNA is filed under the name uncultured bacterium. Its description in RNAcentral is "partial 16S ribosomal RNA". The record is from RNAcentral.
GGACUACACGGGUUUCUAAUCCUGUUUGCUCCCCACGCUCUCGCGCCUCAGCGUCAGUAUCUGUCCAGGUAGCCGCCUUCGCCACUGGUGUUCCUUCCGAUCUCUACGCAUUUCACCGCUACACCGGAAAUUCCACUACCCUCUACAGUACUCUAGUUCUAUCAGUAUUCAAUGCAAUUCCUAGGUUAAGCCCAGGGAUUUCACAUCAAACUUAAUUAACCGCCUACGCGCCCUUUACGCCCAGUAACUCCGAUUAACGCUUGCACCCUCUGUAUUACCGCGGCUGCUGGCAC